This 457-nucleotide ribosomal RNA is filed under the name uncultured beta proteobacterium. RNAcentral's name for it is "bacterial SSU rRNA". It matches the Rfam family "Bacterial small subunit ribosomal RNA", at positions 342 to 791 of the family's 1533-position model. Lineage: Bacteria; Pseudomonadati; Pseudomonadota; Betaproteobacteria. The record is from RNAcentral.
CGGGGGGCAGCAGUGGGGAAUUUUGGACAAUGGGCGAAAGCCUGAUCCAGCCAUUCCGCGUGAGUGAAGAAGGCCUUCGGGUUGUAAAGCUCUUUCGCAAGGGAAGAAAACUUAGGCGCUAAUAUCGCUUGAGGUUGACGGUACCUUGAUAAGAAGCACCGGCUAACUACGUGCCAGCAGCCGCGGUAAUACGUAGGGUGCGAGCGUUAAUCGGAAUUACUGGGCGUAAAGCGUGCGCAGGCGGUUUUGUAAGUCAGAUGUGAAAUCCCCGAGCUCAACUUGGGAACUGCGUUUGAAACUACAAGACUAGAAUAUGUCAGAGGGGGGUAGAAUUCCACGUGUAGCAGUGAAAUGCGUAGAGAUGUGGAGGAAUACCAAUGGCGAAGGCAGCCCCCUGGGAUAAUAUUGACGCUCAUGCACGAAAGCGUGGGGAGCAAACAGGAUUAGAUACCCGAGU